CCCUUAGAUGUUCUGGGCCGCACGCGCGCUACACUGAGCCCUUCAUCGAGUUUACAACCUUGGCCGGUAGGUCUGGGUAAUCUUCUCAAAGGGGCUCGUGCUGGGGAUAGAUUAUUGUAAUUUUUAAUCUUCAACGAGGAAUUCCUAGUAAAAGCAAGUCAACAGCUUGCAUUGAUUACGUCCCUGCCCUUUGUACACACCGCCCGUCGCUACUACCGAUUGAAUGGCUUAGUGAGCCCGAGGGACUGUUGCACCUAGAGGGUUUUCUCUCCAGGAGCAGCCGGGAACUCGGUCAAACUUGAUCAUUUAGAGGAAGUAAAAGUCGUAACA
RNAcentral lists this ribosomal RNA (330 nucleotides) under uncultured eukaryote. RNAcentral's name for it is "partial 18S ribosomal RNA". It matches the Rfam family "Eukaryotic small subunit ribosomal RNA", at positions 1470 to 1796 of the family's 1831-position model. The record is from RNAcentral.